GGCCGGCGCGGCCUCGGAAGCGGCCGCCGCUGCAGCCGCCGCCGCGGCCGCUCUUUCCUUAGGGCCCUCUUCCAGACGCUUCCUGGAAUAUUCAAGCAGCUCCCUUGGCAGGGUCCAGGGUCCGCGGAGGAGCCAGGAUGGGGGCAGCAGCAGCAGGGUGCAUCAUGGUGAACCGAAAACAGCAGCAGGUGCAGCGACACAGGGUCCGCGAAGGAGCCAGGAGGGGGGCAGCAGUAGCAAGGGGCAUCAUGGCGAGCAGAGACCAGCGGCCGAUGCAGUGACCCAGGAGGGCAAGGGUGGAGCGUACAGCGUCCUCCAGAAGAGGAGAAACCUUGAACAGCGAGUCUUGUAAGAUAUGUACCUUUGCUCAAGAGUUGAAGAUAGAAUAGAGCAUGACUGAUAUUUUGUCUUGUUUGACAUGCAUAAGAUUGGUCAGGUCAAGAAUAGUUUGGAUGAGUGAGACUCCUGGCAAGCACUGGAAUCUCUUAAUGACAGCACUCAUUGCCGCCGAGAGCCAUGUCACUGUCACUCGAUAUUUGUAGUCAGCGACAGGCACAAGGCCAAUGACGCCUGAAUGCGAGACUUUGAACCUGUCAACCAACACCAACAAAUGGUUGUCUGGUGGAUCAUUGCCUUUUAUUUCUUAUAAAAAUUUGGAACAGCAACCUGUUGAGGAGUUUGUUGGAUGGGUGAAUGAGCAGGAGUGGAUGUUUUAGGGUGACUGAUCAGCAGUAUGGCUCAGUGGAACUGAUCUGAGUGGUAUUACCCGUCACAGAGAGGCCUGACACAAUUGGAUGACCAUUUUAUUUGAUCAUGCAAUUGGCUUGUGGGCGAUGCCAAUUUUGCAAGCCGCCUGCAGUAAAGAUAUGAUGCAAGUCUUGCCAUGAAGCUAAAGUUUUGAUCAAACGACUCGGAGCUCGGAGGUCUUUACCUCAUCUUUGUGGCCGGUGCAAACACGGUGGUCACUCAGGCUACCUCUUUAUCACUGUAAAUUGCUCAUGUGAGCACAUUGUGCAGGCCACCAUCUGACAUCAUGAUCAUAAUCAUAACG
This 1051-nucleotide long non-coding RNA is filed under the name Coccomyxa subellipsoidea. RNAcentral describes it as "long non-coding RNA (CSUB_LNC000203)". The record is from RNAcentral. Lineage: Eukaryota; Viridiplantae; Chlorophyta; Trebouxiophyceae; Coccomyxaceae.